GUGAUGUUAGAGAACUAUAGAAACUUUGCCUUCCUUGGUAAGUUUAAUUUCCCUUUAAAAUUUUUAAUUAAUAGUUAUUAUUUGAUGUACUUCUGUUGUAUCUUCUGGGAACUUCUCUGUAAGAAUGAAUUUCAGAUUUGUGUUUCAAAGAAGAAGGGCAUUUUUAGUACAGAUAAUUUACUCUUUAAUAUAUAUUAUGUUACUCUUUAAUCUCUCUCUUUCUUGGUAUGUUAUACAUUCUCCACUUUAGAUUAGUAGUUCCUAGCAUACUUUAAUGAUGUAAACUCUUGUAGGCUACACAGAGCAGGGGACACAGCGAGAUGUUCAAAUGGAGAAAACCAAUAUAAAAAAUGUUGGUAUAGUAGUUAUUUAGCAGAAAAAAAAAAAAACAUUUCAGAAGCUUAGGUUUAUUUCUUUUGAUUUUAAUCAUUGAACACAUACUGCCCUACAUUUAUCACAUUUUCAAAUUCUUUGUGAUCCUCCAUUUUCUUCUUUAGUGAUAUCCCAGUUUAUUCAGAUUAACUAUCAAAACUUACGUUUUAUUGUUAGGGCCAGCAUGAUGUGUUACAAAUCUUCUUGUGAGGAAACCUGUAAAGAAGCAAACAGAAGAGAGAGACUCAAUCUCAGUGAAAAGUUAAAAAAACUGACCACUCCUCUUCAUGGAUGUACAUAGUAUACCCAAAAAUUGCAUAGCUUCUGUUGCAAUGACUACAUUCUAACCUAGUAUUAUUUUAACACCAAGUGUUAGCUAACAAAGAUAACGUACAGUUAAUACAAACAUAGAGUCUCUUCUCCCAAAGGACAUUACCACAGAAACUAGAUAGUGCACCUGUAGAGUUGUCUUAAUAGUUUCAGAGAGAAACUGCUGGGAAUUUCAAUUGUGGGACUCAGGGUGCCAGUUUCCAUCACCCCCACACUUUCUAUUUCCAAGGUCAGAAUACCUAAAGCCCCCCCCCCCUCUUUUUUAAGGGCUUUUGAAAAAAUAAUAUUACUUAUCUCCUUAAUGCUGGUGGGGGCAAAAAAUAGGACAGCCAUAGACAACAGCAAGUACCAACAUCAGUAAACAUCCACCUAUGAAUAUUUUUUGACGCAGAUGAAAUUGAGUAAACAUGAUGUUAGCCAAUCCAACAAGUCAAUCAUCAAUCAUCUUGUUGUACCUUUUUAAUCAUAUCUUUAAGGUAAUCUAACUCUUUUGAAAUAAAAUUACUAUUAUCACUUAAAUUGAAGGAACACGUGUAAUUAAACUUAUGAUAUCCAUCAUGAUAUAACAAUACCAGAUAAUCAAUUGCAAUCAUGAAUUUUAAGUAUGGCUUGACAAUGUUGUUUUUGUUCUUCAUUAAGCAUAUUAACAGCCAUGGAGGCAUGACUAAUACUUUUUAUGAUAGCAUAGGUGAGUUUCAUAGUAGUUUUGUAAGCCCAUAGAGAUAGUCAGGGAAACCCACUAAGGAAAAUGUCAGAGCAUCAAAUUCUGCCUUAGAAAGAAGGUUCACUGAAUUAUCACAGUUUUUAUCAAGAGGAAUAAACCUUUUAUGAAUAAUUGUGCAGGAUUGUGACCUAUUAAAUACUAUGUGGAUGGUAAGGACACAGUUAUUCUGCUAACACAACAAUGAAUACCAUGAGAUAUUUUUUCAGGUAUAUAACAAUUUCAUCCAAGUGAGUCAAGAUAUUGUAAUGGGUUGUAGAAGUCCAGGAUCUGACAGUACUGAAUUUCCCACAAGUGGUGUACAAAAACAGAGCAAAGCAUUAACAGAGUUUUGUGUGAGUUUAGCAACCAAAGAAGUAACUAAGUUAUCCAUAGUACAUUCUACCCUAUUUGAGCCAACUCCUUUGGAGCUGAGGUUAUUAAUGGUUUUAUAUCCCCCCAAGUAUUUGGAAUUAUAGUAUCUUGGCUUCCUCUUUUAAUGUUUCUCCUCUUGUGAGGAGAAUGAUUAUUCUCUUGUUUGGAGGGACUCUUCUCUUCCAGUGUUAAAUGAAUCUUACUAAUCAGCUUGUCAAGUACCUGAUGUACAUUUAUAAUUGCUAUAUUUCAUGCAUCAAAAAGAACAUGUUUGCGUAAUUUAACAGUCUAUGCUUUUCCCCACAUGAUCAAAGGCAUAGUACCUUGCCAUGCUGAUAAGCUGGAAUCUUACGUAUACACAUAGAUAGAUAGAUAGAUAGAUAGAUAGAUAGAUAAUGGAUGUUUGAGAAUAAAAUGCCUAUUCAAUGCAGAUGACCAAUUUUGAGUAUUAAUUUUAUGUUGUAUAUUGAGCACAUUAAGUGUAAAUAAAACAUUAUUUAAUGUAUAUUUUAAUAUGAGAGAGGCUAGAUCUUUUGUUUGUUUCUGUUUGAAAAGGCAAGGAUCGGGAUAUAAUUUAUUCAUUCAACAAAAGCUUGUCCAAAAUGAUUAUGAGAAAUUUCAUAAUUUAAAACUAUAUCUCAUUCAUUAAAAAUUGUGCAAAAGGAUGAGAUAUAAAGGCAGAGGCAUUAUCCAUCUUUAAACAAAUAGGCCCUCUAGGAGCAGAUCAUGCUUGGUUUCUUUUAAUGCUCUCUNAGAUAGAUAAUGGAUGUUUGAGAAUAAAAUGCCUAUUCAAUGCAGAUGACCAAUUUUGAGUAUUAAUUUUAUGUUGUAUAUUGAGCACAUUAAGUGUAAAUAAAACAUUAUUUAAUGUAUAUUUUAAUAUGAGAGAGGCUAGAUCUUUUGUUUGUUUCUGUUUGAAAAGGCAAGGAUCGGGAUAUAAUUUAUUCAUUCAACAAAAGCUUGUCCAAAAUGAUUAUGAGAAAUUUCAUAAUUUAAAACUAUAUCUCAUUCAUUAAAAAUUGUGCAAAAGGAUGAGAUAUAAAGGCAGAGGCAUUAUCCAUCUUUAAACAAAUAGGCCCUCUAGGAGCAGAUCAUGCUUGGUUUCUUUUAAUGCUCUCUGCUGGUACUGACUUAGAAGUUUCUUUUUUUAGAUUUAAUUCUGUUAGUAAAUUUUUUAUUGGGUUUUGUAAUAAUGCAUUAAUAAUCAUAAAUAUUUUGAAGUGAAUAACUCAUUAUACUUCUGCUUCGUAAGCUUUUUUUCUAUUGUGAUUAAUGAUUUAAUUUCCAGAUCAUUGCUUUUCAUUGUGGCAUGAUUGGAUUUUUUACAAAUAUAUAUAUAUAUAUUAUAUCCCCUCAAGUGUAAUGUGUGUGUGUGUGUGUGUGUGUGUAUCCCACUUAUCUUUACAUAUCCUAUAGGUUUUUAAUUUUUUUUAAAGAGAGAGUGAGAGAGAUAGAGGUAGAGAGAGAGAGAGAAUUUUUUAAUAUUUAUUUUUUUAGUAUUUGGCGGACAGAACAUCUUUGUUUGUAUGUGGUGCUGAGGAUCGAACCCGGGCCACACGCAUGCCAGGUGAUUGUGCUACCGCUUGAGCCACAUCCCCAGUCCCGGUUUUUAAUUUUUACAGUAUUUUAAAAAUUGCUUAGACUAGUCUUAAACUUGGUCCUGCAUGAUAAGCCUCUCCCAUAUUGGUAGAAUUUCAGAUUUGCACACUUAGGAAUGCCCCUCUCAUUUUUUUCCUUAAAGAAUUAUUCAGAUACACAAUUUGUGCUUAUUUAUAUUUAUAUUUUUUGUCUCAAUUUCACUCUCUAAACUUUCUUUAAAUCAUUAUUUAGUGUUCUUUGAGUAAUUCAUAAUUGCCAGUAUCCUAAAUUUCAGUUUUUAGUGUGUUUUUUUCUUUCUUGUCACUUGGAUUAAGCCAUGCUUCUCUUUGUUUAUAUUUGCUGUAUUACUUUUUUUUUUAUUAAAGGAGCCAACAGUAGAUUAUAUAGUUCAUUUUUGGAAAAAAAGUAUUAAAAAAAAAACUCUUAAAUAAAUAAAAAUAGGCAAGAACAGUGCUGCAUCCUUGUAAUAUUUGCUAAUUGGGAGGCCAUGAAAAAGUACUUCAAGAUUGAGGGAAGUCAUAGAAAUUUAGAAACAGCAUGAGUCAAAAAAUUUUAAAAAGACUUGUUUUGUAGUUCAGUGAUAUAAAAUUUGGGGGGUGUUAAUCUCAAGCACCACACAUGAAAAAUUAAAAGUUGGAUGACCUAAAGUUCCAGAAAUGCCAGUGCUAAAUAUGUAUCCAUGAAUAAUUAAAUCAGAAAACUGAAGAGAUACCUCUGCUUUUGUAUUUAGUGCACACAUUGUUCUCAGUAUUAAAGCUAUGGGCUCAAUGUAUGUGCCUAUCAAUGACCAAAUGUGUAAAAAUAUUGUACUUAUAUACUAUUAUUAUUUAAUUAUAAAAUAUUUUGUCUCUUAAAGGGUUAUAAGAAAUAUAUGCAGGACUUUGCAUUAAGAGAAAUGUGGCAUGCAGAGAUUAAUUUCAGGAACAUUUGAUUCAUAUGUGGAAUCAGAAAUUUAGUGGGUAAAAUUUUGCUCACUAGGUACUGUGUUUUGUGUAGGAUUGAUAUUAUACUCAAAGUCACUUAUUUUUAUUUUAUUGAGCAUAAAAGGGUCAAGAGUUUUGUUUUACCACAUGGUGUGUGUAUUAUAUUCUUCAAAAAUACUAAUAGAAGAAAUACAAUACCUUGUAAGAACAAAACUGAUAAUUAUCUAAAAUAAUAAUUGUGUUAAUUCAUUCUUUUUUUUGUUAAUUCAUUCUAUUUAGUCAUUUUACCUUGUAUAUAUAGUAUAAAAUACCAUGAUAUAUUUAGGAAAUAAACAAAGGUGUAUUUGUCAAUGAAAGAAAUCAUCAUAUCUCACAAAUUUAAAAAUAUAAAAAUCAAUUUAUUAUACUUGAUUGUUAUGCAUUGUCUUCAUCCAAGUAUUAUGGACAUAGGCUAUCCAAGGUUUUUAUAGUCAUUUAAAAUGUUUUAUUGGAAAAUUUUUUACACAUAUAUGUAUAUAUUUCUUAGUAAAUUUUUUGUUCAUUUUUCUUUUUAAUAGUCCAUAGCCUCUUUAGUCUUGUUGAAUAUUUGUUGUAUUAUCACUCAAAAUAUACUAGUUAUUUUCAUGUCUGUAUGUCAUGGUAGACCAAAGCCAGUUUUUACACACUCUUUGAAAAAGCCACAAAUGUUUGUAUGUUUUACAUUUCUCUUGUUCUACUGAUAGUGAAGGUAGCUGAUAGAUAUUUCCUAAAUUCACAAUGAUAUCUUAUAGAUAACAAAUGGCUGUGGAUGAUAAAAGUAACAUACUUACCUUCUCUUUAUUAUAUAACUCUUAUUAAUGAUGUAUUCCUCUUGGAUGCUGUGGUCUCUACAAAAAUUUGAGUAAUAUUCUCAAGGUAAUUUUGUUUGUGCAUUUUUAUUGAACUGAUAUAUUUUUUGAUUUAUGAUGACUUGGACUUACUAAUCUGCUACACUCCUUAUGUAUUUAUUCUACAUUAAUUUCAUGUUAUGUAUGCAAAUUAUAUUUAUCCCUGUCUAGUAGUUAUUGUUUAUUUUUUUUUUAUUUUUGUUUAUUUCAGCCAUGACUCCACAUGAUACCCAAGAAUAUUCACCAGAGAAGAGCAUAAAACAUAUAUUUCACAAAUUGAUAAAUGGGAAAUAUAGAAGUUGUGAUCUUGACUAUUUACAACAAAAGAAAAUAUGGAAAACCACAAGUGAGAGUGAACACCAGAAAUCAUAUAAAAAAUCAGGCCUUGUUCACCACCAGAGAAUUUAUACUGGAGAGAAGCCCUACAAAUAUAAACAAUGUGGCAAAGCUUUUAGUAAAAUAAAUGAUCUUAUUAACCACAGAGUAACCCACACUGGACAGAUGCCCUACCAAUGGGCAGAAUGUGAUGAAGUUUAUAAAGAAAAAUCAAUCUUUAUUAAGCAAAGCAGAAAUCACACUGAAGAGAAGCCCUAAAAAUGUGAAGAAUAUGGUAAAGUUUUUAGUCAAAAAUUAAACACUAUUUACCAAAGAAGAAUUCACACUGGAGAAAAGCUCUACAAAUGUAGAGAAUGUGGCAAAGCUUUUAGUCAAAAAACAGACCUUAUUCACCACAGAAGAACUCACACUGGAGAGAAGCCCUACAAAUGUAAAGAAUGUGGCAAAGAUUUCAGUCAUAAAUCACUCCUUAUUCGCCACAGGAGAACUCACACUAGAGAGAAGCCCUACAAACGUAAAGAAUGUAGCAAUGCCUUUAGUCAAAAAUCAGACGUUAUUCACCACAGCAGAACUCACAGUGGAGAGAAGCCCUAAAAAUGUAAAGAAUGUGGCAAAGCUUUCAGUAGAAAAGUAGGACUUACUUACCACAGAAGAACUCACACUGGAGAGAAUCCCUACAAAUGUAAAGAUUGUGGCAAAUCUUUCAGAAAAAAAGAAGGACUUACUUACCACAGGAGAACUCACACUGGAGAGAAGCCCUACAAAUGUAAAGAAUGUGGCAAAGCUUUUAGUCGAAAAUCAGACCUUAUUUGCCACAGUAGAACUCACACUGGAGAGAAACCCUACAAAUGUAAAGAAUGUGGCAAAGCUUUCAGUCGAAAAUCAAACCUUAUUCGCCACAGCAGAAUUCACACUGGAGAGAAGCCGUACCAAUGCAAAGAAUGUGGCAAAGCUUUCAGUCAAAAAUCAAAUCUUAUUUGCCACAGUAGAACUCACACUGGAGAGAAGCCCUACAAAUGUAAAGAAUGUGGCAAAGCUUUCAGUCGAAAAUCACACCUUAUUUGCCACAGUAGAACUCACACUGGAGAGAAACCCUACAAAUGUAAAGAAUGUGGCAAAGCUUUCAGUCACAAAAUAGACCUUAUUCACCACAGAAGAACUCACACUGGAGAGAAGCCCUACAAAUGUAAAGAAUGUGGCAAAGCUUUCAGUCACAAAAUAGACCUUAUUCACCACAGAAGAACUCACACUGGAGAGAAG
Molecule: long non-coding RNA, 6761 nt
Filed under: Marmota monax (woodchuck)
Lineage: Eukaryota; Metazoa; Chordata; Mammalia; Rodentia; Sciuridae
Source: RNAcentral